AAGGUUUUAGUGACUUGUAACGGGCCCAACCACCCUCGUUCAACAGGCUUCAUCUGUUCCGAAAUUUGAGUUUUCUGGUUUCGCUCUGUUAACUCUAAAAUAAGCUUUAGUCAUUACUUGAUCUUUGUUUUUUUAUACCACCAAUAACUUUCAAGAGUAUACCAAUAAACAGCUUCGUACCUAUUAACCAGCAUCAUUCAGUGGGCCUCGGAUGCUUCGUAUGUUACGAAGUUUUGCUCAUAUGAUUUAAGCAGUGAUUAAGGGCGCAGCUUUCUUUAUAUUUUCCUGGUGUUCUAAAUUAGUGAUACUCUAGAAUUGUAAAAGUCAACCUGAAAAUGUGAAAACUUUGCCGGUGGUCGAAAGGAGCGGGUCAUUGGGAGGUAUUAACUCUCCGUGACCGUGAGUUGUUUCCCUAUUCACAGCGGUAAUUUGUAUUUGUAAAAAUGGUGCCCAGCUGAUUUUCACUGCACAACUUGUAAUUGUUCGAGGAAAAUAUGGCGCACGGUUCGUUAAUUGUUCGAGGAAAAUAUGGCGCACGGUUCUUUAUUAUCGGUUCUUUAUUAUCGAACCGAUUUAUUAAUGCGAUAAUUCUUUUUGUCACUCGCUAUCUUGGACGUUAAUUCUUAAGAGAAACUUUUGGUUUUGUCAUUUUCGAGGACCCGAUUCGAUAUGCCAUUGCAAAGCAGUGUAGGUGAGAGUCAUAACUAAUUUAAUGGAAUUUCUUUUCGGGUAUUCCUUAUGGUUACUUUUGUAAGUUCUGCCUAUAGCGCCGGGAGGCUUUCCUCGUGGGGGCGUUGGUCGGAUUAGCCCGGUAGUGGCGCAAGGAAGUGUUAGUGACUUAAUUCUUGCCUAGCUCAUGCUGCCCCGAAGAGCUCCUCUUGAUAGUUUUGCUAGCCCGUGUUUACAGGUGGUAAUCGGCACAAGGAGUAGUCUUGCAUCACUCGGCCAUGUCUCAAAAUUGCUGAAAAUGCUGACCACUCAGCCAACCCCUUUCAAUGUAAUAAGAAAUCUCUUACUAGCUUUGAAAUUUGUCUUGUAGUGGUAUCUUGUAACCUUACAAACUUGGAGGCGUUGCAUACUUAACUGCAUCUGGAACCAAAGGAGCUAAAAUACCGCGCAAAAAUAAGUUUCUGAACCUCCCAUAAGCACAAUUGAUUUAUAUACUUCAAAAUGUGUAAGUUUUCUGUUAAGCACCUCACAACUUGUAUCCCUAUGAAACCUAGUUGGCAAAUUCUGUACUUGAAUUGAUGAACAAUAACUGAGCUUAAUCUUUCCCACCCUCUUCCACUUGUCGAAUAAUUCAACUUUAUUCGAAUCCUAAUAACAGCUUCGUUGCAGGUGGCGUGCUGAUCGGUUCCUUGUGGCCACUUCUGCUGACUCUGGACGGUCCUCGGCUCCCUCCGGGAAGUGCUGCGGCCGGUCCAGACCCGUCUUGUGUCCACCUUCAGGGUCUCUACCUUCGGGAUUUGACGGCGGCCGGAAGUGGUGUUCUUGUACAGGUUUUGUCAGACUUGAAGACUAGCAGGACGCUGGUUAUUAAGCAGUUUUGUAUUAAGAGUUCGUUGGACUCCCCAAGUGAUUAAAAUUACUUUAUUUA
Eriocheir sinensis (Chinese mitten crab) is the source of this 1597-nucleotide long non-coding RNA. RefSeq lists it as uncharacterized. The record is from RefSeq and is a predicted model, not a curated record. The transcript is spliced from 2 exons. NCBI's taxonomy places the organism in Eukaryota, Metazoa, Arthropoda, Malacostraca, Decapoda, Varunidae.